RNAcentral lists this long non-coding RNA (797 nucleotides) under Chinchilla lanigera (long-tailed chinchilla). RNAcentral describes it as "lncRNA (ENSCLAG00000024230.1)". The record is from RNAcentral. Lineage: Eukaryota; Metazoa; Chordata; Mammalia; Rodentia; Chinchillidae.
AAGACAAGAGGCAUGGGGUUGGCUCUAGAUCCAGAAAGCAGCUGCUGAUUAGAUUCUGUGUCUGAGAGCUGAAUUUAUUCCGUGUUUUUCAGCAGCAGGAAUUCGAGAGGGAUGCUUCUGUUUGGGUUUCUGGUCGUGAUUUAUAUUUAUUCAGAGGAAUAACAGAGGGUGGAUCUGUUCCCGGCGAGCAUGCUCACAACCAACCGACUCUCCCAUUAUCCCGCUGCCUAGUUUGGCGCUCCCGUGUACAUGGCUAUUCCGUGUGCAUAUGUGUGUGUGCAAACACGCAUGCAUGCCUGGAUGGACAUACGUAUGCAGAGGUUAUUUUUUAAGGACAAUUCUUUCAAUAAGGUCUUUACCCCUUACUUAAAACAGGUGUUCAUGAAAAAAAUGCACAAAAUCCUGACUGGCCGGAAUAAUUCAUGAAGAAAGGGCUGGAUCCGUGGGUCAGAGCACACAGGACCAGGUUGCCAUCCCAAGGCCGAAGUCUGGUGACUCGGAUUUGGCCCUGCGUUGCCCACUCCUGCUGCAUCUUACCCAGUCGAAGGAUGAAAGGUCUUGGCACCUUCCUGAAGCGUGGGAAGAAAGGAGGUUCUGAAAGCACAGAUCCAAGACCACCAGAGGCCGGGGACACUGACACCUGGAGGGGCCACUCACACACCGCCAGGAGCCAAGGAGAGCUGGACAGGAGGAACACGGGCCCAACAAGGGUGGAAAUACCAGCAGUCCCCAAAGCCAUCUACAUCAGUGCCCAGGCAGCCCAUGCAGGACCCACUGAGUGGAAGACAACAUGGUAG